AUUGAACGCUGGCGGCAGGCCUAACACAUGCAAGUCGAGCGGAUGAAGGGAGCUUGCUCCUGGAUUCAGCGGCGGACGGGUGAGUAAUGCCUAGGAAUCUGCCGGGUAGUGGGGGAUAACGUCCGGAAACGGGCGCUAAUACCGCAUACGUCCUGAGGGAGAAAGUGGGGGAUCUUCGGACCUCCCGCUAUCAGAUGAGCCUAGGUCGGAUUAGCUAGUUGGUGGGGUAAAGGCCUACCAAGGCGACGAUCCGUAACUGGUCUGAGAGGAUGAUCAGUCACACUGGAACUGAGACACGGUCCAGACUCCUACGGGAGGCAGCAGUGGGGAAUAUUGGACAAUGGGCGAAAGCCUGAUCCAGCCAUGCCGCGUGUGUGAAGAAGGUCUUCGGAUUGUAAAGCACUUUAAGUUGGGAGGAAGGGCAGUAAGUUAAUACCUUGCUGUUUUGACGUUACCAACAGAAUAAGCACCGGCUAACUUCGUG
Molecule: ribosomal RNA, 484 nt
Filed under: uncultured bacterium
Lineage: Bacteria
Description: partial 16S ribosomal RNA
Rfam family: Bacterial small subunit ribosomal RNA
Source: RNAcentral